UUCCUGACGUUAGGCACGAAAGUUAGGGUAGCGAAACAGAUUAGAUACCUGUGUAGUCCUAGCCGUAANCGAUGUCCGCUUAACUUUUGCCGACUUGUCGGCAGAGGUUCAAGCUAACGCAUUAAGCGGACCGCCUGGGGAGUACGACCGCAAGGUUAAAACUCAAAGGAAUUGACGGGGACCCGCACAACUGGUGGAGCGUGUGGUUUAAUUUGAGACGAAGCAAAAAACCUUACCAGGGUUUGACAUGAUACCGUUUUAUGCCUAUGGAAACACUGGCAGAUCCGCAAGGAUGGUACCACAGGUGCUGCAUGGCUGUCGUCAGCUCGUGUCGUGAGAUGUUCCCUUAAGUGGGGAAACGAGCGCAACCCCCGUGAAAUGUUACAUAUUCAUUUCAGACGGUCCCGAUCAUAUCGGGAAGGAAGGAGGGGAAGACGUCAAGUCAGCAUGGUCCUUACACCCUGGGAUACACACACCCUACAAUGGCGAACAACAAAGGGCUGCAAGCCAGCAAUGGCAAGCUAAUCCCAGAAAUUUCGCCUCAGUUCAGAUUGGGGGCUGCAACCCGCCCCCAUGAAGUCGGAAUCAGUAGUAAUCGCGGAUCAGAAGGCCGCGGUGAAUACGUUCUCGGGUCUUGUACACACCGCCCGUCAAGGCAGCAAAGUCGGGAGUGGAUGAAGGCUAUCGAAAGAUGGACGAGUCCAAGCUUGGCGAUGAAGCUUAAGUCGUAACAAGGUAACC
Molecule: ribosomal RNA, 741 nt
Filed under: uncultured bacterium
Lineage: Bacteria
Description: bacterial SSU rRNA
Rfam family: Bacterial small subunit ribosomal RNA
Source: RNAcentral